Non-coding RNA from Clarias gariepinus (North African catfish), 2209 nucleotides. The record is from the annotation of a RefSeq genome assembly. NCBI's taxonomy places the organism in Eukaryota, Metazoa, Chordata, Actinopteri, Siluriformes, Clariidae.
UCCACUUUGCAUUAGCAGCUCAUGCUUCAGCGCUCUGCGAGUGUUUAUAGCCCUGUGACUUUAACACUUCAUGACUGAGAGCUGCUGCUCAGCGACUUCACCCACAGCAACCAUGAGUUUGAUCAGCGUCUUCAUCUGCACACUGGCCCUCUGCGCUCGAGGAUCCAGAGGUCAGGUGACUGUGACUCAGAGUCCUGCAGUGAAAUCAGUUUCUCCAGGAGACACACUCACCAUCAGCUGUAAAACGAGUCCUGCUGUUAAUACUAACUGUGGUGGGAGCAAUAACUGUUUCUCCUGGUAUCAGCAGAAACCUGGAGAAGCUCCUAAACUCCUGAUCUAUGAUGCUGACACUAGAGAAUCAGGUAUUCCAUCACGUUUCAGUGGCAGUGGAUCUGGAUCUGAUUUCACUCUGACCAUCAGUGGAGUCCAGACUGAAGAUGCUGGAGAUUAUUACUGUCAGAGUGCACAUUCUAUCAGUAGUAGCGGAGUGUUCACACAGUGUUAGAGCGUCGUACAAAAACCUGUGUGAGUGUGACUGCUGCAGCUGGGACCUACUGCAGGUGCUGAGGGACACACACACACACACACACACACACACUACAGUAAGUGUAUAUGAUGCAGCUGACUUUGCUGAAACAUACAGCUGUGUGUCAUUAGCCUAGCAGUGGAAGCUAACAGCAUGUUAAUGAGACAGCUCUGUUCUAGACCCAGUGCUUUUUCCCUCUACAUGCUACCUCAGGGUAAAAUGAUUCACACAGCAACACAGUAACCUAUCGAAAAAAACACCAUUUUUACCACAUCUGUUAAAAAACUAAACUGGAACAUUCUUUCAAUCUAACAACUUUUUUCCAGCUCUGGUGUAUACAGCUUUAAUAAAGCUUUACUCAAAGUUCAGUCUUUGUCAGGAUGAUAUACUGCACGUGAAGCUGUGGAUUAUAAUUCACAACGACAGUGAUGAAGAGGAGAGAAGCUGACAGUGUCAGAGGUUGAGGAUGUAUAACCCAAGGAGGAAGGCCCCCGACACUGAUGAGGAAGAAGACCCAGCUGAUAUUGUAGCCUCCUUUUGGUAAAAAAAAAUGGAACCAAACCCUAACACUUACCAGAUAUGCCAUAUCCCAAGUGGGUGACAUCAAGUAAACUUUUCCUCAUGGACUUUAUUGAUACCGUUGUCAUGAACAUGACAAACCUGGAGGGAAGAAGGGUUUAUGGAAACACCUGAAACACACACCUGGUGAAUAUUGAAGCCUACAGUACGUGGUUGUGUUGAUUUUGGUUGAUGUCUACAGAUCAUGCAAGGAACCUGCAUCCAGCUUAUGGGAUGUGGACACUGAUCAGGCAAUUUUUCACUCUACAAUGUCUUUGCAGACCUUCCAUAUCCUCAUUCACUUUAAUUACCACCACACAAGAGCAGCCCAAAGUCAACGAGACAAGCUGGGAAGUUUGGCAGAAGUGGGUGGAGCUCCUGCCAAUCAUUUACAAAACAGAUCCUGACAUCACUGUUGAUGAGCAUCUCGACAGUUUUAGGACACGGUACCCAUUUAAGCUGUAUAUGCCAAACAUACUAUCAAAGUAUGGUAUAAAAAUAUGUGCAGCAUGUGAUGUAAAGACAUGUUAUGCCCGGAACAUGUCAAUGUACAGCAAGGCUACUUUAAAAUUGUAAAUUUAUUCAUACAGUGUAUGGGUCAAGCAAUAUAUUUAUAAUAAAAGUACUGCUUCUCCAAUACUUGUCCCAACUAUUGAGGUGUUUGGCCAGGUGGCACAUGUAAUUUGCCAAUUAGCUCAUGUACUGUCAUUUUGAAUGGCAGUGUUUUGUAAUGGCAAGCAUGUGACUUUAUGUCAGCUUGUUGUGUCUUAUGCAGACAACUGUUUUCAGUGCAUUUAAAAUAGUGUCAAUUGGAAAUGCAAAAUUGUACAGGUGUGAACAGUGUCCAAUGCAUUCUAAUGAAACAUUAUUAUCUGACCUCACCUUGGUCAAUUGCCAUGUGCUGCUGUCCAGAAAAAACAAAACAUUAACCAUAGUAAAUUUAUCAUGUCUUUUUAUUGUUCCACAUGGUCACAAAACAACUACAGUGGAAGCAAAGAUUUUUACAGCAAAGAUUUUUAAUAAAUUUUGACUUGAAAAACGAGCGUUGUCUUGGUUUACGAGCACCGAGUAUCAUGUAUAUCAUGUAUCAUGUAUAUGCGCUUUUUGUUUUGACCGAGCGUCACG